CCGUCCAUCACGAUUUAAUCUGGGUCGUGCGAUCGCGAUUAAAAUGAGAAUAAAUCUGGACCGUUCGAUCGCGUGCACGUGGAUCGCCCACGUGGCUCCGUCCCAAGUGGCCUCCCGCGUCAGCUUCUUUGCUACGCGGCGUGUUCUGGUUGGCCGGGGCUGCUGACGUGGCAUAAUUUUUCUAAAUUGUAUUUUGACCUUUAGUUUUCGAUUUUCUUUUC
This 221-nucleotide long non-coding RNA is filed under the name Carica papaya (papaya). Its description in RNAcentral is "long non-coding RNA (CPAP_LNC013507)". The record is from RNAcentral. Lineage: Eukaryota; Viridiplantae; Streptophyta; Magnoliopsida; Brassicales; Caricaceae.